AGCUACGCAGUGUUCACAAAGCGAAUUAUUCUUUCGCCUUUUACUAAAGAAUACCGUGUGGACAUUACUUAAAAUGGCAUGUGCCAAUUUUUGAAGGGUCCUUCCCGUUUAAGGAGAG
Arachis stenosperma is the source of this 118-nucleotide small nuclear RNA. RefSeq annotates it as U5 spliceosomal RNA. Lineage: Eukaryota; Viridiplantae; Streptophyta; Magnoliopsida; Fabales; Fabaceae. The transcript has a single exon. The record is from RefSeq and is a predicted model, not a curated record.